Molecule: long non-coding RNA, 406 nt
Filed under: Homo sapiens (human)
Lineage: Eukaryota; Metazoa; Chordata; Mammalia; Primates; Hominidae
Description: HSALNT0387775
Source: RNAcentral
AGAAUGUGGAAGCGUCGGCCGAGCGCGGUCCUUGGAGAACCCUUGCUGCGGAGAAUGACGCUCACUCUGCGGCCUGGCCUCGCCUCCCCAUCCCUUCUGCAAACUCACAGGACAGGAUUGAUGGGGAGAGCCCAGGCGAAACGAAGCUGACCCUAGUGACCAGCCCUACUGGCGGCUCUGGAACAGGCCCGGGACCGGUGGCCUGGAGACAGUGGUCCUUUCUGGAUGGGCUGCAGUCUCCGAAGGCUUCCCCCACUGGAGUCAGCCCUUUAGGAGUUUGUCCAGUGCCUCCAGAAAGCUGUUUUUUGGGGGACGGAGGACUUGGCCUGGAAUUCUGGAAUUCCCAGGGGGUCAGACAUGGUUAUGGGAAGUUUAAUAAAACCGGUGAAUCACGUGAAUUCUGCAA